AUGCACGCUAGCGGGAGGCCUAACACAUGCAAGCCGAGCGGUAUUUGUUCUUCGGAACAGAGAGAGCGGCGCACGGGUGCGGAACACGUGUGCAACCUGCCUUUAUCUGGGGGAUAGCCUUUCGAAAGGAAGAUUAAUACCCCAUAAUAUAUUGAGUGGCAUCAUUUGAUAUUGAAAACUCCGGUGGAUAGAGAUGGGCACGCGCAAGAUUAGAUAGUUGGUGAGGUAACGGCUCACCAAGUCAAUGAUCUUUAGGGGGCCUGAGAGGGUGAUCCCCCACACUGGUACUGAGACACGGACCAGACUCCUACGGGAGGCAGCAGUGAGGAAUAUUGGACAAUGGGUUAGCGCCUGAUCCAGCCAUCCCGCGUGAAGGACGACGGCCCUAUGGGUUGUAAACUUCUUUUGUAUAGGGAUAAACCUACUCUCGUGAGAGUAGCUGAAGGUACUAUACGAAUAAGCACCGGCUAACUCCGUG
This 478-nucleotide ribosomal RNA is filed under the name uncultured bacterium. RNAcentral's name for it is "partial 16S ribosomal RNA". It matches the Rfam family "Bacterial small subunit ribosomal RNA", at positions 29 to 507 of the family's 1533-position model. The record is from RNAcentral.